Molecule: ribosomal RNA, 490 nt
Filed under: uncultured bacterium
Lineage: Bacteria
Description: partial 16S ribosomal RNA
Rfam family: Bacterial small subunit ribosomal RNA
Source: RNAcentral
AUUGAACGCUGGCGGCAGGCCUAACACAUGCAAGUCGAACGGUAACAGGAAGCAGCUUGCUGCUUCGCUGACGAGUGGCGGACGGGUGAGUAAUGUCUGGGAAGCUGCCUGAUGGAGGGGGAUAACUACUGGAAACGGUAGCUAAUACCGCAUAAUGUCGCAAGACCAAAGAGGGGGACCUUCGGGCCUCUCGCCAUCGGAUGUGCCCAGAUGGGAUUAGCUUGUUGGUGGGGUAACGGCUCACCAAGGCGACGAUCCCUAGCUGGUCUGAGAGGAUGACCAGCCACACUGGAACUGAGACACGGUCCAGACUCCUACGGGAGGCAGCAGUGGGGAAUAUUGCACAAUGGGCGCAAGCCUGAUGCAGCCAUGCCGCGUGUAUGAAGAAGGCCUUCGGGUUGUAAAGUACUUUCAGCGGGGAGGAAGGGAGUAAAGUUAAUACCUUUGCUCAUUGACGUUACCCGCAGAAGAAGCACCGGCUAACUCCGUG